UGGUUUGCAGAGAACAGCAUUCAGUUUAGUUUCACUUUGCAAGAUAAGCUUCAGGUUGUGUUCGUGUGCGUCAGUGACCACAAAACCACACCUACCACACCUACACAGUAAAGUUUAUACAUAGAAAUAGUGCCUGUGCAUCUGUAUUAGGAAAGUAUACAUUAAAGCUUUCAACAAGUA
Molecule: non-coding RNA, 180 nt
Organism: Pimephales promelas (fathead minnow)
Lineage: Eukaryota; Metazoa; Chordata; Actinopteri; Cypriniformes; Leuciscidae
Source: RefSeq, a predicted model, not a curated record